AUUUUCUGCUAGCAUAGAUUUGUCAACAGUAAAAACUUUUAUUUGAUUACCGUGUUUAUCAUAUAUAUUAUACAUUAAUUAUUAAGGUGCACAUAAGAAACUUGAAAAGAUAUGGAAGAGAAAACAGAAAAAACUUCGGAUAGUCGAACACAAUUUUGUAAAUGGUGUAAAGUUCAUAAUGUAUGGGUAGUAUAUACUAAAGGACAUAAAAGUUUUUGUCCAUCUUUACAUUGCGAUUGUUACAAAUGCAAUCGCAUAAAUACGCAAAAGAAAUUAGAUUUUCUGAAGAAUUUAUACUCUAAUGAACAUUCGUCGUAGAAUAUUAUAUACGGUAAAAUAUUCGGAUUAUUAUAAAGAUCUUCGACUUAUUUUAGGUAUGCUUUCACCAGAACGCAUUCCAGUAGCUUACAAAUUGGUCUAUCCAAACAUGUAAAUAAAAAUUAAAAUAACUUUGCAAAAGCAGUAAAUAUUCGACGAGAUUUAAAUAAUUCAUUAUUUUUAUCACUAUUUUCGUAUAUAAUUCGAAAUACAUCCAAUUUCUGCAGCUGUAGAACUAUCGUACCAUAAUUACUGAUUUUUAUUUAGUCUGCCAACUGUUUUCGCUGAACUUUUUCAUAGCAAACUGAUAGAUAUAUUCUUUAAUAGUUACAUUCAACUAUUAAAGAUAUUCAUAUACCUUAAAAAAUUAUAUUUUAAUAAUUUUUAAUAUUAUAAAGAAUAGUAAUUAAAAAAUCGUUGCAUAAAAAAAGUUUGUGAAAAUACCAAGGACAUCCUUGGAAAAUACGGACAAAACGAUUAUAACCAUUAACUUGCAGAAACUCUUUUAGAAUAUAUUACUCAGGAAAAAUUCAGUAUUACAACAAGAAUACUUGUUAAAUGCAUAUCUCAUAUUUUUUAAAUUAAAUUUUCAAUGUAUUUUUUUAGGUAUAUUAUAUAAAUUGCUAAUACUGUAAAACAGGAAGUAAAAUAUGUAUUAAAAAAUUGAUGAUGUAUUGAUCUUAUAAUUACAAAUUUUUAUAUAUUUAACUGAAUUUCUUUUCCUGUGUAUACUCGAAGGUAAAGCAGAAGCUGACUACUUGUACUUCGGAAGUUAAAGUGAUAAAAAUUAACGCCAUUUAUGACUCUGAUGCAGCUAGAAAACCAUUGACAUUCGCGAUGCGUCAGAUGCGUGACGCAUCGGAUCCCCGCUCUUAACGGCACAUUAAAGAUAUAAAGUGAAUUUUGUUAUUUUUAUUUAAUAAAAAUAAUAUUAAUAAUAACAGUAUAUAUAAUUAAUAUCAAUUAUUAAUAAUAAUAAUUACAAUUAUAAAAUUGUGUUAUAUCAAGAAUUAUUGCGCGAUGCGCUAACAGAUAGAUGAAGUACAACUCGGAGCAAGAAGGAAAUUUUUUUGUUGAUCUAUAAACUUAAUAUUUUUCCUCAAAGAAAAAGAAGUUUAGAAUUUAAUUCUAGAAAAGAAAGAAAGAAUAAGUCUAGAAUUUUAUUUGAUUAUAUCGGUAUUUCAUUUCUGAAAUAUUUUAAUUAAAAUUAAACUAUACGUCAUGACAGCAUCGGAAAGUAGUAUUAAGUCUAGGGAAGCGGUAACUUUUCUAACGGUAUUAAUGCCUACAGAACAGUCGAUUUCGAUGUAAAAGGUAAUAGUGUCAGUAAGAAUGAUGUUUAUUUUUAUGUAAUCGUAUCUCU
RNAcentral lists this long non-coding RNA (1681 nucleotides) under Androctonus crassicauda. The record is from RNAcentral. Lineage: Eukaryota; Metazoa; Arthropoda; Arachnida; Scorpiones; Buthidae.